UACGUAGGGAGCAAGCGUUGUCCGGAAUCAUUGGGCGUAAAGCGCGCGUAGGCGGCCCCAUAAGUCCGCUGUGAAAGUCCAAGGCUCAACCUUUGAAAGCCGGUGGAUACUGUGGGACUAGAGUACGGAAGAGGCGAGUGGAAUUCCUGGUGUAGCGGUGGAAUGCGCAGAUAUCAGGAGGAACACCAAUAGCGAAGGCAGCUCGCUGGGACGUUACUGACGCUGAGGAGCGAAAGCGUGGGGAGCGAACAGG
Molecule: ribosomal RNA, 253 nt
Filed under: uncultured bacterium
Lineage: Bacteria
Description: partial 16S ribosomal RNA
Rfam family: Bacterial small subunit ribosomal RNA
Source: RNAcentral